Molecule: ribosomal RNA, 228 nt
Filed under: uncultured bacterium
Lineage: Bacteria
Description: partial 16S ribosomal RNA
Rfam family: Bacterial small subunit ribosomal RNA
Source: RNAcentral
UGCGUAGGCGGAAGAAUAAGUCAGUGGUGAAAUACUGCCGCUCAACGGUAGGGCUGCCAUUGAUACUGUUUUUCUUGAGUAUGGUUGAGGUAGGCGGAAUGUGCGGUGUAGCGGUGAAAUGCAUAGAUAUCGCCCAGAACGCCGAUUGCGAAGGCAGCUUACUAAACCAUUACUGACGCUGAGGCACGAAAGCGUGGGUAGCGAACAGGAUUAGAUACCCUGGUAGUC